UUUCUGCUUCAGUAGUAAAUUCAAUAAGGUUGGAUUACUACACAGAAGUUCAGCAUGGUCACUCCGUAGAGGUGACAUGCUAAUUCACAAGGCUUUCCAUACACCU
Molecule: small nuclear RNA, 106 nt
Filed under: Pteropus vampyrus (large flying fox)
Lineage: Eukaryota; Metazoa; Chordata; Mammalia; Chiroptera; Pteropodidae
Source: RNAcentral